RNAcentral lists this long non-coding RNA (1140 nucleotides) under Polistes fuscatus (common paper wasp). RNAcentral's name for it is "uncharacterized LOC122515558". Lineage: Eukaryota; Metazoa; Arthropoda; Insecta; Hymenoptera; Vespidae. The record is from RNAcentral.
CUGUGGUUGGGUCUAUCGCGAAGGCAUCGUCUCCGUUAUCUUCUAACGCGUAUCUUACCUAAGAUGAUUGAUAUUCCGUUGGAAAGCCUUUGAUUACAAGCAACGUCUAAUUGGAGUAGUAAUUAGAGCGGACGAAAAGAAAUAAAUAAAUAAAUAAAGAAAAAGAAAAAGAAAGAAGGAUCAUCUAAGGGUCUCGAGUCUGUUGAACUUCUCAUCGGUAUUUCUCGGUCUUCCUCGGGUUCUCUUUUAUUUUCUUCGCCCUCGAUUUCACCCCCCACUUUUAUAUAAACGAAUAGUGGGUGGUUGGUUGCUCCUGCGAGUAUCGACCGACGCAAUUUCUAUGUCCAUGCCGAGCAUACUUCGUAUCUUUCAAAGAAUGAAUGAACAACGAUAAUAAUAAUAAUAAUAAUAAUAAUGAUGAUGAUGAUGAUGAUGAUGAUGAUGAAAAGAACUCUGACGAGUCUACGAUCGAUCCUUUUUGCACCUUUUAAUAUAAUUAUUAUCAUUUCUAUAUGAUCAAAAAGAAAUAUGAAAGAUUUACAAUAACAAAAAAAUGAUAAAAAAUUGAUGAAUUUUCUGUCACGUUUUUACCAAGCUCGCGAUCAAUUUUCCUCAGUCUACCCUCGAGUGAUAAAAAUGUUGAGAGAAGAGGUUUGAGACUAGCGUCGGCGUUGAGACCACUCGAGGAGUCGUUACUCCCAAGAGAGGACGUACAAUUGGAAUAACAUAAGAGUAGAAAAUAUUUCUACGCGGUGAUGUAGACCAAUAGAAAAUAUUAAAACAACAGGAUGAUUAUAUAAUAUUCUCAAGGAUUUAAAUGACUACAAAUAAUUACAAAGAAAACCUAAUCAAAAUGAGUCGUUAUCGUCUAGAACUCUAUGCGUUCCUUUUUCAUUCUUUAUUUCAUUUCACGCGAGUCGCGUCCUGUCUUCCCGUGGGAACUUUUCGAAUGAACUCCGAAGGAAAAGAAAAGUCGAGUAUAAUCCAAAGGAAGGAAGGAAGAAAGAGGAAACAUUGGCAUAACUUAGCAGCGUGCGAGCGUAAAGAUCUAACGAAUCUUUCCCUACUUUGGUAUAAAUACCGUACAAAACACACACGCGAGGAGGAAAAAGGGACGCCGAUAAUGUCGAAGAAAACGAA